ACUUGUGUUCUGGCUCUCUUCUCUGGAGCACAGAUGACAGCGGACAUGGUACAAUGGUCAGGAAAGGUAACUGCCAAGUGUUUGUUACUUUGGUUUUGAAUAUAAUUUACUUAAAUUUGACUUUAUGGCUGAGCAUGGUGUGAGUGUAACCCCAUCUGGGCUGUGGACACAAGAGACUCUUGGGUUUCAGGCCAGCCUGGGCUGUGUAGUGAGUUCUAGGUCAGCCUAAGCUACGCUGCAAGCUGAGGUCUACACAAAGUUACAAUUUAAAUCAUUUGAGUUCAGAUAAUGGCUCUAACAGCUGUGUGUAAAAUUUCCAAGUAUCUAACACUUGGCUCUCAGGUCAGGAGGAGGCAGUUGCCCGCCAUCCCUAUCACGGCCUCAGCUGAUCACAGGAAGAAAGGUCUGAACAAAAUUACUUCUAGUCAUUGUAUCCAUCUUUAGACGAGUCACCUGUUCACCAGACUGGCUCCAAACUGGCUGUAGCUGGCUGAACUCCUUCCCAAUUGCUUAGAUCACAGGAGUGAGCAGCCAGGCCUCAUGAGAACUUUGAAACAGACUGACCCUUCAAAGAUGUCUAUCCGCUGACAAGGGCUCAUUACCUUACGUGAGAAGUAACUGUUGUCAGCCACAUCUUGAGGACAAGGGGUGAUCUUGGGUGAGGGGUGCUCUUUGCCAAAAGGAAAUUCCCAGAGAAAGACCAGCAACAAGCAAGCACGAGGGAGUGUUUUAAUCCUGAGCAGCAUCAGAGGACACCCAGAGUAGCCCCUGGGGCCAUGUACCACCCAGAGUAGCCCCCGGGGCCGUGUACCACCCAGAGUAGCUCCCAGGGCCGUGUACCCUGUGGUUUUAUUUCAUUUUCCGUUUUGGAACAAUGUCUGUCAUGCUUUCAUUGAAACUUACGGUUCUAUCAGGGUAUAGUGGAACACAGCUUUAAUCUCAGCACUGGGGAGUCAGAGGCAGGCCGGUCUCUGAGAGUUUGGAGCCAGACUGGUCUACAAAUCGAGUUCUGGGACAGCCAGUAAGACUUUGUCUCAGAAAAAUCCAAACCAAACUAAAACAAAAACUGCCAAAACUUCUGGUUCUUGUGUGUGUACGUAGUCUUUCCUUAUUGUAGUUUUAGAUAUAAUACUUUUAUUGUUAUCAUAUUUUAAUAUAUCAGAUUUUUUAGCCAGCUUUUUUUUUCUUUUUAAUAUGUUUUGAGAUUAUAAUUAUAUUGUUUCUUUCUUGCUUUUUCUCUCUCUCCAAACCUUCCCAGCCACCCCCUUCAAAUUCAUGGCUUCUUUUUUUUUAAAAAAAAAUUUUUUUAUAUAU
RNAcentral lists this long non-coding RNA (1314 nucleotides) under Mus musculus (house mouse). RNAcentral's name for it is "long non-coding RNA chr15:99902962-99904276". Lineage: Eukaryota; Metazoa; Chordata; Mammalia; Rodentia; Muridae. The record is from RNAcentral.